RNAcentral lists this long non-coding RNA (563 nucleotides) under Erythranthe guttata (spotted monkey flower). RNAcentral's name for it is "long non-coding RNA (EGUT_LNC003194)". Lineage: Eukaryota; Viridiplantae; Streptophyta; Magnoliopsida; Lamiales; Phrymaceae. The record is from RNAcentral.
UGGAAAUCGGACGGAUCGGAUCGGAAAUAGCCCUUUCGGAAAAUUUCCGAUUUUUUUCGGAACUGUGAUAUAGGAUCCGAUUCCGAUUCCGAUUUUUUCGGAAAUUUCGGAAAAUCGGAAAUAUUCGGAAUUACUCGUUUUCGGAAAUUUUCGGAAAAUCUUCGGAAUAUUUGGAAUUCGUAAAUCGAGAACUGAAGACAGAACCCCCAAAGUUGUACAAAAAAUUGAAAAAAAACGAAAAAAAUCGAAGCAAGAUCCACGAUUCAUAUGUAAAAAAACAAGCACCCCCAAGGCUGUACAAAAAAUUGAAAAAAAACGAAAAAAUCGAAGCAAGAUCUACGAUUCAUAUGUAAAAAACAAACAGUUUAUCUGAUGUAAAUCAUAUAAAUAAUUUCUGAAAUAAUUAAAAAAACACAAGAUUUGCAGCGAAGUAGAGAAAUUGAUGGAGGAGAAAGUCGAGAUCUGUAGCUUCGCAAGGAUCGGAGAAGAAGAAAAACAGAACGGAUCGGAAAUUAGAUAAGUGGAGAUCUGCAUCUUCGGAUGGAGAAAGUCAAUAUGCGCCG